This 2932-nucleotide ribosomal RNA is filed under the name Escherichia coli. RNAcentral's name for it is "23S ribosomal RNA". It matches the Rfam family "Bacterial large subunit ribosomal RNA". Lineage: Bacteria; Pseudomonadati; Pseudomonadota; Gammaproteobacteria; Enterobacterales; Enterobacteriaceae. The record is from RNAcentral.
GGGUUGUGAGGUUAAGCGACUAAGCGUACACGGUGGAUGCCCUGGCAGUCAGAGGCGAUGAAGGACGUGCUAAUCUGCGAUAAGCGUCGGUAAGGUGAUAUGAACCGUUAUAACCGGCGAUUUCCGAAUGGGGAAACCCAGUGUGUUUCGACACACUAUCAUUAACUGAAUCCAUAGGUUAAUGAGGCGAACCGGGGGAACUGAAACAUCUAAGUACCCCGAGGAAAAGAAAUCAACCGAGAUUCCCCAGUAGCGGCGAGCGAACGGGGAGCAGCCCAGAGCCUGAAUCAGUGUGUGUGUUAGUGGAAGCGUCUGGAAAGGCGCGCGAUACAGGGUGACAGCCCCGUACACAAAAAUGCACAUGCUGUGAGCUCGAUGAGUAGGGCGGGACACGUGGUAUCCUGUCUGAAUAUGGGGGGACCAUCCUCCAAGGCUAAAUACUCCUGACUGACCGAUAGUGAACCAGUACCGUGAGGGAAAGGCGAAAAGAACCCCGGCGAGGGGAGUGAAAAAGAACCUGAAACCGUGUACGUACAAGCAGUGGGAGCACGCUUAGGCGUGUGACUGCGUACCUUUUGUAUAAUGGGUCAGCGACUUAUAUUCUGUAGCAAGGUUAACCGAAUAGGGGAGCCGAAGGGAAACCGAGUCUUAACUGGGCGUUAAGUUGCAGGGUAUAGACCCGAAACCCGGUGAUCUAGCCAUGGGCAGGUUGAAGGUUGGGUAACACUAACUGGAGGACCGAACCGACUAAUGUUGAAAAAUUAGCGGAUGACUUGUGGCUGGGGGUGAAAGGCCAAUCAAACCGGGAGAUAGCUGGUUCUCCCCGAAAGCUAUUUAGGUAGCGCCUCGUGAAUUCAUCUCCGGGGGUAGAGCACUGUUUCGGCAAGGGGGUCAUCCCGACUUACCAACCCGAUGCAAACUGCGAAUACCGGAGAAUGUUAUCACGGGAGACACACGGCGGGUGCUAACGUCCGUCGUGAAGAGGGAAACAACCCAGACCGCCAGCUAAGGUCCCAAAGUCAUGGUUAAGUGGGAAACGAUGUGGGAAGGCCCAGACAGCCAGGAUGUUGGCUUAGAAGCAGCCAUCAUUUAAAGAAAGCGUAAUAGCUCACUGGUCGAGUCGGCCUGCGCGGAAGAUGUAACGGGGCUAAACCAUGCACCGAAGCUGCGGCAGCGACGCUUAUGCGUUGUUGGGUAGGGGAGCGUUCUGUAAGCCUGUGAAGGUGUGCUGUGAGGCAUGCUGGAGGUAUCAGAAGUGCGAAUGCUGACAUAAGUAACGAUAAAGCGGGUGAAAAGCCCGCUCGCCGGAAGACCAAGGGUUCCUGUCCAACGUUAAUCGGGGCAGGGUGAGUCGACCCCUAAGGCGAGGCCGAAAGGCGUAGUCGAUGGGAAACAGGUUAAUAUUCCUGUACUUGGUGUUACUGCGAAGGGGGGACGGAGAAGGCUAUGUUGGCCGGGCGACGGUUGUCCCGGUUUAAGCGUGUAGGCUGGUUUUCCAGGCAAAUCCGGAAAAUCAAGGCUGAGGCGUGAUGACGAGGCACUACGGUGCUGAAGCAACAAAUGCCCUGCUUCCAGGAAAAGCCUCUAAGCAUCAGGUAACAUCAAAUCGUACCCCAAACCGACACAGGUGGUCAGGUAGAGAAUACCAAGGCGCUUGAGAGAACUCGGGUGAAGGAACUAGGCAAAAUGGUGCCGUAACUUCGGGAGAAGGCACGCUGAUAUGUAGGUGAAGUCCCUCGCGGAUGGAGCUGAAAUCAGUCGAAGAUACCAGCUGGCUGCAACUGUUUAUUAAAAACACAGCACUGUGCAAACACGAAAGUGGACGUAUACGGUGUGACGCCUGCCCGGUGCCGGAAGGUUAAUUGAUGGGGUUAGCCGCAAGGCGAAGCUCUUGAUCGAAGCCCCGGUAAACGGCGGCCGUAACUAUAACGGUCCUAAGGUAGCGAAAUUCCUUGUCGGGUAAGUUCCGACCUGCACGAAUGGCGUAAUGAUGGCCAGGCUGUCUCCACCCGAGACUCAGUGAAAUUGAACUCGCUGUGAAGAUGCAGUGUACCCGCGGCAAGACGGAAAGACCCCGUGAACCUUUACUAUAGCUUGACACUGAACAUUGAGCCUUGAUGUGUAGGAUAGGUGGGAGGCUUUGAAGUGUGGACGCCAGUCUGCAUGGAGCCGACCUUGAAAUACCACCCUUUAAUGUUUGAUGUUCUAACGUUGACCCGUAAUCCGGGUUGCGGACAGUGUCUGGUGGGUAGUUUGACUGGGGCGGUCUCCUCCUAAAGAGUAACGGAGGAGCACGAAGGUUGGCUAAUCCUGGUCGGACAUCAGGAGGUUAGUGCAAUGGCAUAAGCCAGCUUGACUGCGAGCGUGACGGCGCGAGCAGGUGCGAAAGCAGGUCAUAGUGAUCCGGUGGUUCUGAAUGGAAGGGCCAUCGCUCAACGGAUAAAAGGUACUCCGGGGAUAACAGGCUGAUACCGCCCAAGAGUUCAUAUCGACGGCGGUGUUUGGCACCUCGAUGUCGGCUCAUCACAUCCUGGGGCUGAAGUAGGUCCCAAGGGUAUGGCUGUUCGCCAUUUAAAGUGGUACGCGAGCUGGGUUUAGAACGUCGUGAGACAGUUCGGUCCCUAUCUGCCGUGGGCGCUGGAGAACUGAGGGGGGCUGCUCCUAGUACGAGAGGACCGGAGUGGACGCAUCACUGGUGUUCGGGUUGUCAUGCCAAUGGCACUGCCCGGUAGCUAAAUGCGGAAGAGAUAAGUGCUGAAAGCAUCUAAGCACGAAACUUGCCCCGAGAUGAGUUCUCCCUGACUCCUUGAGAGUCCUGAAGGAACGUUGAAGACGACGACGUUGAUAGGCCGGGUGUGUAAGCGCAGCGAUGCGUUGAGCUAACCGGUACUAAUGAACCGUGAGGCUUAACCUUACAACGCCGAAGGUGUUU